Scomber japonicus (chub mackerel) is the source of this 188-nucleotide long non-coding RNA. RefSeq lists it as uncharacterized. NCBI's taxonomy places the organism in Eukaryota, Metazoa, Chordata, Actinopteri, Scombriformes, Scombridae. The record is from RefSeq and is a predicted model, not a curated record. The transcript is spliced from 3 exons.
CAGAGGGUGACAACAAAUAUUUGGGACUAGGAUUGCUCAUUUUUAUCUAUUUCUUUGCUCACCUGGGAGUUGGAUUAGUGCACGUAAAUGACUGUCCGAGGCAGCCCUUCAUCCCCUUUUAUUUGUGUGGAUUUGGGGCCUUGUUCCUGUUGAUAUUGUUCUGCUUGGCCGCCUACAGCAACAUGAGC